RNAcentral lists this ribosomal RNA (253 nucleotides) under uncultured bacterium. RNAcentral's name for it is "partial 16S ribosomal RNA". It matches the Rfam family "Bacterial small subunit ribosomal RNA", at positions 524 to 776 of the family's 1533-position model. The record is from RNAcentral.
UACAGGGGGGGCAAGCGUUGUUCGGAAUUACUGGGCGUAAAGGGUUUGUAGGUGGCUUGCUAAGUCAGACGUGAAAUCCCUCAGCUUAACUGGGGAACUGCGUCUGAUACUGGCGAGCUUGAGUGCAGGAGAGGAACGCGGAAUUCCAGGUGUAGCGGUGAAAUGCGUAGAUAUCAGGAGGAACACCGGUGGCGAAGGCGGGUCUCUGGGCCGAUACUGACGCUGAGGAGCGAAAGCGUGGGGAGCGAACAGG